CCGACCUUAGCUCAGUUGGUAGAGCGGAGGACUGUAGUAUGUGCAGAAAGAUCCUUAGGUCGCUGGUUCGAAUCCGGCAGGUGGGA
Non-coding RNA from Oryza nivara, 86 nucleotides. The record is from Rfam. NCBI's taxonomy places the organism in Eukaryota, Viridiplantae, Streptophyta, Magnoliopsida, Poales, Poaceae.